RNAcentral lists this ribosomal RNA (488 nucleotides) under uncultured bacterium. Its description in RNAcentral is "bacterial SSU rRNA". It matches the Rfam family "Bacterial small subunit ribosomal RNA", at positions 26 to 507 of the family's 1533-position model. The record is from RNAcentral.
AGAUUGAACGCUGGCGGCAUGCUUUACACAUGCAAGUCGAACGGCAGCGCGGGGGCAACCCUGGCGGCGAGUGGCGAACGGGUGAGUAAUGUAUCGGAACGUAUACCUGUAAUGGGGGAUAACCAGUCGAAAGAUUGGGUAAUACCGCAUACGCACGAGAGUGGAAAGUAGGGGAUCGCAAGACCUUACGUUAUAGGAGCGGCCGAUAUCUGAUUAGCUAGUUGGUGGGGUAAAGGCCUACCAAGGCGACGAUCAGCAGCUGGUCUGAGAGGACGACCAGCCACACUGGGACUGAGACACGGCCCAGACUCCUACGGGAGGCAGCAGUGGGGAAUUUUGGACAAUGGGCGAAAGCCUGAUCCAGCCAUGCCGCGUGCAGGAAGAAGGCCUUCGGGUUGUAAACUGCUUUAGUCUAGGAAAAAGGGGUGCGAGGUUAAUACCCUCGUGCUUUGAUGGUACUGGAAGAAUAAGCACCGGCUAACUACGUG